RNAcentral lists this small RNA (388 nucleotides) under Pongo abelii (Sumatran orangutan). Its description in RNAcentral is "retained intron". Lineage: Eukaryota; Metazoa; Chordata; Mammalia; Primates; Hominidae. The record is from RNAcentral.
AGAAUAGAACCAGGACAUUGGGGACACCUAAGACAAGCUUCACCAGCCAAAAGCAUUGCCAGCCCCAGCUGAGAGUCACACACUCCUUAAAUGUGUGUUAGAGGGGACUCAUUUGACCUUUCGAUCCAGCCUGGCUGUGGCGGCCAUUCCAGAGGGUCUGCCCAUCGUCGUCAUGGUGACGCUGGUCCUGGGAGUUCUGCGGAUGGCCAAGAAGCGGGUCAUCGUGAAGAAGUUACCCAUCGUGGAGACUUUAGGUUGCUGCAGCGUUCUCUGUUCUGAUAAGACGGGGACUCUGACUGCCAAUGAAAUGACAGUGACCCAGCUUGUAACGUCAGAUGGGCUUCGUGCCGAGGUCAGCGGAGUUGGGUAUGACGGUCAAGGGACUGUG